This 497-nucleotide ribosomal RNA is filed under the name uncultured bacterium. RNAcentral describes it as "partial 16S ribosomal RNA". It matches the Rfam family "Bacterial small subunit ribosomal RNA", at positions 28 to 507 of the family's 1533-position model. The record is from RNAcentral.
GAUGAACGCUGGCGGCGUGCCUAAUACAUGCAAGUCGAGCGAACGGACGAGAAGCUUGCUUCUCUGAUGUUAGCGGCGGACGGGUGAGUAACACGUGGAUAACCUGCCUAUAAGACUGGGAUAACUUCGUGAAACCGGUGCUAAUACCGGAUGAUAUUUUGAACCGCAUGGUUCAAAAGUGAAAGACGGUCUUGCUGUCACUUAUAGAUGGAUCCGCGCUGCAUUAGCUAGUUGGUAAGGUAACGGCUUACCAAGGCAACGAUGCAUAGCCGACCUGAGAGGGUGAUCGGCCACACUGGAACUGAGACACGGUCCAGACUCCUACGGGAGGCAGCAGUAGGGAAUCUUCCGCAAUGGGCGAAAGCCUGACGGAGCAACGCCGCGUGAGUGAUGAAGGUCUUCGGAUCGUAAAACUCUGUUAUUAGGGAAGAACAUAUGUGUAAUUAACUGUGCACAUCUUGACGGUACCUAAUCAGAAAGCCACGGCUAACUACGUG